Molecule: ribosomal RNA, 507 nt
Filed under: uncultured bacterium
Lineage: Bacteria
Description: bacterial SSU rRNA
Rfam family: Bacterial small subunit ribosomal RNA
Source: RNAcentral
GAUCCUGGCUUAGGAUGAACGCUAGCUACAGGCUUAACACAUGCAAGUCGAGGGGUAGCAGGGUAGCAAUACCGCUGACGACCGGCGCACGGGUGAGUAACACGUAUCCAACCUUCCCAUAACUCUGGGAUAGCCUUUCGAAAGAAAGAUUAAUACCGGAUGGUACUUUUUCAAGGCAUCUUGAGAAAGUUAAAGAUUUAUUGGUUAUGGAUGGGGAUGCGUUCCAUUAGAUAGUUGGUGAGGUAACGGCUCACCAAGUCUUCGAUGGAUAGGGGUUCUGAGAGGAAGGUCCCCCACAUUGGUACUGAGACACGGACCAAACUCCUACGGGAGGCAGCAGUGAGGAAUAUUGGUCAAUGGGCGAGAGCCUGAACCAGCCAAGUAGCGUGAAAGGAUGAAGGUCCUAUGGAUUGUAAACUUCUUUUAUAGUAGAAUAAAGUGACCCACGUGUGGGUUUUUGUAUGUAUACUAUGAAUAAGGAUCGGCUAACUCCGUGCCAGCCGCAGC